AUUGAACGCUGGCGGCAGGCCUAACACAUGCAAGUCGAGCGGAUGAAGGGAGCUUGCUCCUGGAUUCAGCGGCGGACGGGUGAGUAAUGCCUAGGAAUCUGCCUGGUAGUGGGGGAUAACGUCCGGAAACGGGCGCUAAUACCGCAUACGUCCUGAGGGCGACAGUGGGGGAUCUUCGGACCUCACGCUAUCAGAUGAGCCUAGGUCGGAUUAGCUAGUUGGUGGGGUAAAGGCCUACCAAGGCGACGAUCCGUAACUGGUCUGAGAGGAUGAUCAGUCACACUGGAACUGAGACACGGUCCAGACUCCUACGGGAGGCAGCAGUGGGGAAUAUUGGACGAAGGGCGAAAGCCUGAUCCAGCAAUGCCGCGUGUGUGAAGAAGGUCUUCGGAUUGUAAAGCACUUUAAGUUGGGAGGAAGGGCAGUAAGUUAAUACCUUGCUGUUUUGACGGUACCAACAGAAUAAGCACCGGCUAACUUCGUG
Molecule: ribosomal RNA, 484 nt
Filed under: uncultured bacterium
Lineage: Bacteria
Description: partial 16S ribosomal RNA
Rfam family: Bacterial small subunit ribosomal RNA
Source: RNAcentral